RNAcentral lists this ribosomal RNA (254 nucleotides) under uncultured bacterium. Its description in RNAcentral is "partial 16S ribosomal RNA". It matches the Rfam family "Bacterial small subunit ribosomal RNA", at positions 524 to 777 of the family's 1533-position model. The record is from RNAcentral.
UACGUAGGGUGCGAGCGUUGUCCGGAAUUAUUGGGCGUAAAGAGCUUGUAGGCGGUUUGUCGCGUCUGCUGUGAAAAUCCGGGGCUCAACCCCGGACUUGCAGUGGGUACGGGCAGACUAGAGUGUGGUAGGGGAGACUGGAAUUCCUGGUGUAGCGGUGAAAUGCGCAGAUAUCAGGAGGAACACCGAUGGCGAAGGCAGGUCUCUGGGCCACUACUGACGCUGAGAAGCGAAAGCAUGGGGAGCGAACAGGA